RNAcentral lists this long non-coding RNA (1792 nucleotides) under Gossypium barbadense (sea-island cotton). Its description in RNAcentral is "long non-coding RNA (GBAR_LNC004818)". The record is from RNAcentral. Lineage: Eukaryota; Viridiplantae; Streptophyta; Magnoliopsida; Malvales; Malvaceae.
GAGUACACGUCAUAUCCAAAGGAAGAGUUCAGGCUUCCCGAUUAGCAAGCAGGUCUCAGAAAUCCGACCACAGCAAAAGCACAAACCCACACAAUUCACAGCAUCUGAAAGCGCUUCUGUCCACACGUACAUAUGAUAACUCGGAGAUUGAAGACAUAAGCAGGAGCAGGUAACAUGAAAUACACCGCAUUUCUUCUUGGUGGGCUACUAAUUAACUGAUGCAAAGUCAAAACUAACAUCUCCCUAAGUUCCUAGGCCCACUAUAUGAGUAUCAACCUUAGAACUACUGAAAUAUAUCACCAUGAUGUCUUAGACCUUGAGAGUUGAGACAGAAAAUGUAAGCAAGGCCUGUGACAUUUAUUGCAUUAUUUUCAUCCAUGGUUUAGAUGCAACAGAAUCUCAACAAGUUCCAUUUCUGAAAAUGUCACUUAAGGCUUCCCUAUUUCCAGGGGGAAUGAAUUUCAUAUAUCAUUGCCGAAAGUAAAUUAGAAUUAUCAACCAAUGUUAAUAUCAUAGUACUAAGAAACUAGGAUGAAAAAUGUGAAAUGAUCUCACCUUCUUCUCUAUGAAGAAUCUUGCUAAUAGUCCACUUCUUAAUUUCCUGGAUUGGGAUCUAAGCCUGUUGUUUUAGAACUCCACAAGUAUUUACUCACACCACUAGCAUUGAUGCAGAUCCACAUCCUCCCAUUUCAAUGGCUCGUCCUCACUAACUCGUACUAGCUCACACAGAACUGUUUCAAGCAGUAAAGGCAGAAGUAGUGGAAUAACUUCUGAUAGAGUCAGUGAUUCCUUUCAAGUAAGACCAUGUGAGAAUUUGAAGACAAAUAAACAAGUUACAUCACCUAAAGCUUCAAAGAGAAGUAAAAGACCAGAAUCUCUUCAUAGAAUUUCCAUACCAGAAAGAACAGAUUUUUCAGGGCCACCAAGUUGCGGAUCAACUGAUAUAUCUAGUCACGGUUCAGAAAGUACAGCUUACAAUUCCAGUUCUUUGGCCUCCCUGACUCCUGUGAGUAUAUUGUGAUAAAUUCAUUUAGGAAUUAUGUUUGUACAAACAUCAAAACAUACAAUGACUUCCUGAAAUAACUUGUUGGCUCAAGUUAUUAUGCAACAAGAUCCAAUUUCCAUCUUGUUUGAUUUGUUUUCUAGUAGAUCUAACAAUAUUUUUAUUGGCUGCUGACCUUCUGGGAUAGGUUUACAGCAAAGGAGUUCUCCAGAAUCUAAAAGCUUGCACAUCUAUUAUAUGUAGCCUUCAAUUAGUUUAGCUUAUUGAGCUUUUUUCUCUCUAAAAUGGAUGAAAUUCAAGAUAGCGUUACAUUACAAAUAUGUAAACUAUGAUUGCCUGAUUACCAUGAAUACAGUGACUGGUGCCUCUGAGGCGCUUCAGUCCAAAAUGAAUCUGUCUUCCUAUGGCCUAAAUAUAUCUUCCAAUUCUUUAUUUUAUGAGUCCGUUACCAUAUUAUUGAGACAUAUUUCAUCCUUUCCAUGGGUUACAUAGCGAGGCUUGGAGGUUGAGAUGAAGCGACUUCGAAAAGAAUUAAAGAGAUCCAUGGAUAUGUUUAAAUCAGUUUGCGAAGAAGCUGUUGUAGCAAAAGAUAAGGUAAGAUUGGAUGUUUAUGAUCAUAUGUGAUCUUAUCAAUAAAAACUUAGCAACAUACUUCCAGUUUUCUUGACCGGGCCUUUUCUUUUCCCAGCUGAAGAAGCUUCAGGAAUGGAAAGAAGCAGAAGAGCGCAAAUUAGAGGAAGCCAAGCUUUCUGAGGAGGCAGCAGUGGCUUUGGCAGAGGCAGAAAGGGA